Molecule: ribosomal RNA, 1447 nt
Filed under: uncultured organism
Description: SSU rRNA
Rfam family: Bacterial small subunit ribosomal RNA
Source: RNAcentral
GAUGAACGCUAGCUACAGGCUUAACACAUGCAAGUCGAGGGGCAGCAUGGUCUUAGCUUGCUAAGGCCGAUGGCGACCGGCGCACGGGUGAGUAACGCGUAUCCAACCUGCCUUAUACUCUUGGACAGCCUUCUGAAAGGGAGAUUAAUACAAGAUGUUAUCAUGAGUAAGCAUUUUCGCAUGAUUAAAGGUUUACCGGUGUAAGAUGGGGAUGCGUUCCAUUAGAUAGUAGGCGGGGUAACGGCCCACCUAGUCUUCGAUGGAUAGGGGUUCUGAGAGGAAGGUCCCCCACAUUGGAACUGAGACACGGUCCAAACUCCUACGGGAGGCAGCAGUGAGGAAUAUUGGUCAAUGGACGAGAGUCUGAACCAGCCAAGUAGCGUGAAGGAUGAAGGUUCUAUGGAUUGUAAACUUCUUUUAUACGGGAAUAAACGAAUCCACGUGUGGAUUUUUGCAUGUACCGUAUGAAUAAGGAUCGGCUAACUCCGUGCCAGCAGCCGCGGUAAUACGGAGGAUCCGAGCGUUAUCCGGAUUUAUUGGGUUUAAAGGGAGCGUAGAUGGGUUGUUAAGUCAGUUGUGAAAGUUUGCGGCUCAACCGUAAAAUUGCAAUUGAUACUGGCAGUCUUGAGUACAGUUGAGGUAGGCGGACUUCGUGGUGUAGCGGUGAAAUGCUUAGAUAUCACGAAGAACUCCGAUUGCGAAGGCAGCUUACUAACCUGUAACUGACAUUGAUGCUCGAAAGUGUGGGUAUCAAACAGGAUUAGAUACCCUGGUAGUCCACACGGUAAACGAUGAAUACUCGCUGUAGGCGAUAUACAGUCUGCGGCCAAGCGAAAGCAUUAAGUAUUCCACCUGGGGAGUACGCCGGCAACGGUGAAACUCAAAGGAAUUGACGGGGGCCCGCACAAGCGGAGGAACAUGUGGUUUAAUUCGAUGAUACGCGAGGAACCUUACCCGGGCUUAAAUUGCAACCGAAUAUGGCGGAAACGCUAUAGCUAGCAAUAGCGGUUGUGAAGGUGCUGCAUGGUUGUCGUCAGCUCGUGCCGUGAGGUGUCGGCUUAAGUGCCAUAACGAGCGCAACCCUUGCCGAUAGUUACUAACAGGUCAUGCUGAGGACUCUGUCGGGACUGCCAUCGUAAGAUGUGAGGAAGGUGGGGAUGACGUCAAAUCAGCACGGCCCUUACGUCCGGGGCUACACACGUGUUACAAUGGGGGGUACAGAGGGCUGCUACCACGCAAGUGGAUGCCAAUCCCAAAACCUCUCUCAGUUCGGAUUGAAGUCUGCAACCCGACUUCAUGAAGCUGGAUUCGCUAGUAAUCGCGCAUCAGCCACGGCGCGGUGAAUACGUUCCCGGGCCUCGUACACACCGCCCGUCAAGCCAUGGGAGCCGGGGGUACCUGAAGUGCGUAACCGCAAGGAGCGCCCUAGGGUAAAACUGGUGACUGG